AGAACGAACGCUGGCGGCAGGCUUAACACAUGCAAGUCGAACGCGUGUAGCAAUACACGAGUGGCGCACGGGUGAGUAACGCGUGGAUAUCUGCCUUUUGGUUUGGAAUAACCCCGGGAAACUGGGGCUAAUACCGGAUGGUUCCUACGGGAUAAAGAUUUAUCGCCAAAAGAUGAGUCCGCGUCCGAUUAGCUAGUUGGUGGGGUAAUGGCCUACCAAGGCGACGAUCGGUAGCUGGUCUGAGAGGACGAUCAGCCACACUGGGACUGAGACACGGCCCAGACUCCUACGGGAGGCAGCAGUGGGGAAUAUUGGACAAUGGGGGCAACCCUGAUCCAGCCAUGCCGCGUGAGUGAUGAAGGCCUUCGGGUUGUAAAGCUCUUUUGGCGGGGACGAUGAUGACGGUACCCGCAGAAUAAGCCCCGGCUAACUUCGUGCCAGCAGCCGC
Molecule: ribosomal RNA, 448 nt
Filed under: uncultured bacterium
Lineage: Bacteria
Description: SSU rRNA
Rfam family: Bacterial small subunit ribosomal RNA
Source: RNAcentral